ACUCCCCAGGUUUUCCCCUCUUGUGAGUGGAACUUGUGACCACUGGUUCCUUCCUCCCGGAAAGUGGCACAAGGGGCCCGUUCCUGCAUGCCUCCAGCCCCGGAAUGGGGUUUGGAGCAAAGAUGUGCCCGGGGAGAGAGGAGACAGUGCUGGCUGUGGAGCUUUGGGCACACGUGUACAACAUAGGAGCACCCAGCAGCCCCUGCUGGUCAUUCCUUUAGAAUAGGACCGACACCGGGAGUUCCCCCCCCCCCCGCCCCCUCCCCCCACUCCAGUGCUCCCAGUUCAGCUGUUGGUCAUUUGCAUCAAGGGCCUGAAGUCUCACAGGCCCUAGCAAAGCAAAUGUCUGUCUUUUAACUCGAUUUUUGGCUUCAAAGGCUUGAGUCUGCCUGGAGACAGAAGUUGCGCUUAGACUAGCAAUCACUAAGCCUUCUCCAGAGGAUCAAGUUUGGUGAAUAGGAGUGUAGGACUGGGUGGGAAACUAAAGCUGAUGUAUCUGGAGACAUUUCAGUCUGCUUGUCUAAUGUCUGGGGACAGGGUCAGCCCUACCACAUUCACCAGCCUCCUCCUUUAAUCUUGCCACAGCUCUGCAGUAUCUACACAGAGAUUUUGGUCUCGCUACUAUUUUUUCCCAUUUUCCAUUUUUUUUUUUUACCAUCUAAAAACACCACAAGUUUCCCUCUUCUGUUUCUUCAAAUUGAAGUGCACCAGACAUAUGGGGAAUUGCACAAAACCCAAUACUAUGACAGAUCAACAAAUAUGACACAAUGAACAGACCCAGAUGGCUACCAGUCAGAUCAUGAGUUAGAUCAUUCUCAGCAUCUGAGAAGUCCUUCUAUCUAAAUCCUGGUCACUACUUCACAAUGCUUCUGCCUAUUACUAUAGAGUAGUUAGGCCUGCCUGCCUUUGAACAGAACCAUCCAGUAAUUAUUUUGUAUCUGACUUCUCUCAGUACUAUGCUUGUAAGACUAAUUGGCAAUGUGAUAGCGGUAGUUGAUUGAUUUUUAAUUGCUGUAUAGUAGACCAUUGGAGUGGCUAUACUACAAUGUAUCCUGUGGACAGGCAUUUGGGUUCUCUGUAAUUAUAGCAAUUGUAGUUAUUGUUAUAACAUUUUCAUUCAUGUCCUUUGGUGCACUUGGGUUCACACUUCUACUGGAAAUAUCUGUACAAACAAAAUUAGUGGGUCAUUGACUCCACAGGCAUGUGUUUAGCUUUAGUAAAUCUACUAAACUAUUUUCCAGUGUGUAUUAAUCUAUAAUCCUGCCAGCAAUGCCUGGAGUUCUAUGUGUUCUUUAUCCUUAUCAACACUUGGUGUUGUCAAUCUAAAAAGAUUAAAAAGUUUAGCCAUCCUGGUGGGUGUAUUAAUAGUGAUUUUUUAUUGGGGUUUAAGUUUAUAUUCCCUUUGUAAACAAUGAAGUUGGCCACCAUUUUAUGUAUUUAUUUGCCAUUUGGAUACUUGCUCAAGCAUUGAGUCUGUUUUAUUUUAGGCUUUUUUCCUCUGCAGUACACGGUUUUGAACUUGGGACCUCAUGUUUGCUAGGCAGGCAGUUUAUCACUGGAGCCAUGCCUCCAGUCUUUAAGUUUUGUAUCUUUUGUCUAGUAGUGGUUCUUCAGAUACUUCAAAUAUGGUUCUUGGUUAGUUGUUGAAAUUGCAGAAUAUUUUAUGAAUAUAUAAGUGCAGCUAUGCCUUUCCAGAUAUAUUCAGUAAUUUCAGAAUUGCAGCUCCAAAACACCUACACCAUCCUGGCUAGAGAGUCCCAGCUUGGGAAUUUGUUCAACAUGGAGUCUGCUGCAGUGGCCACUGGAAUAAGACUUGUCAUCUCUACAUUUUGAUUGCUACCAUAUCUCUGGCUCCUGACACAUAGUUGGUGCUCAAUAAACAUGUUAAAUGCAGGAUGGAUGAGGUAGAGUCAUCUAGGUAGUGUGCCCUUUGUUGUGCUGAUACCUAGAGUCAAACAUCAAGAAGGGGGGAGGGGGGCACAAUUCCUUUCACCUCAGCCAGCUGUGACUUUGGGAAGAGGAAGACACUCCAGCUCUUCUUUAUUGAAAGAGCAGAAAUAGCUACAGUCUGAAAUGAGAUGUAGAGAGUAGAGGUCACAGAUGAAAAGACAGAAACUAGCAGCAGGUAGCAAGCCAGCCAGAUACUCCAAAAGGAGCCACUUGGUCGGGGGUGUCAAGAUGAGAUGAGGGUCUCUGAGCAUAGUUGUGAUGGACCAUCACAUGACAACAAACUCUCAAAGAUCAUCAUAGGUCAUGUCGGUCUUCCUUCUACCUCAUGACAUUUUUCCCCCUCAAAGUUUACUAGCUAAGAAACCUUUAAA
Long non-coding RNA from Perognathus longimembris pacificus (Pacific pocket mouse), 2321 nucleotides. RefSeq lists it as uncharacterized. The transcript has 2 exons. The record is from RefSeq and is a predicted model, not a curated record. Lineage: Eukaryota; Metazoa; Chordata; Mammalia; Rodentia; Heteromyidae.